RNAcentral lists this ribosomal RNA (329 nucleotides) under uncultured eukaryote. Its description in RNAcentral is "partial 18S ribosomal RNA". It matches the Rfam family "Eukaryotic small subunit ribosomal RNA", at positions 1470 to 1796 of the family's 1831-position model. The record is from RNAcentral.
CCCUUAGAUGUUCUGGGCCGCACGCGCGCUACACUGACGAUGGCAACGAGUUUUUCCUUCGCCGAAAGGUGUGGGUAAUCUUUUGAAACAUCGUCGUGCUGGGGAUAGAUCAUUGCAAUUUUUGAUCUUGAACGAGGAAUUCCUAGUAAGCGCGAGUCAUCAGCUCGCGUUGAUUCCGUCCCUGCCCUUUGUACACACCGCCCGUCGCUACUACCGAUUGAAUGGUUUAGUGAGGACUCCUGAUUGGCGCCGCCGCCCCGGCAACGGAGCAGCGGACUGCCGAAAAGUUGUUCAAACUUGAUCAUUUAGAGGAAGUAAAAGUCGUAACA